ACGAAGGGGGCUAGCGUUGCUCGGAAUUACUGGGCGUAAAGGGCGCGUAGGCGGAUGUCUUAGUCAGAGGUGAAAGCCCAGGGCUUAACCUUGGAACUGCCUUUGAUACUGGGCAUCUUGAGUACGGGAGAGGUGAGUGGAACUCCGAGUGUAGAGGUGAAAUUCGUAGAUAUUCGGAAGAACACCAGUGGCGAAGGCGACUCACUGGCCCGUUACUGACGCUGAGGCGCGAAAGCGUGGGGAGCAAACAGGAUUAGAUACCCUGGUAGUCCACGCUGUAAACGAUGAGUGCUAGUUGUCGGCAUGCAUGCAUGUCGGUGACGCAGCUAACGCAUUAAGCACUCCGCCUGGGGAGUACGGUCGCAAGAUUA
RNAcentral lists this ribosomal RNA (371 nucleotides) under uncultured bacterium. RNAcentral's name for it is "bacterial SSU rRNA". It matches the Rfam family "Bacterial small subunit ribosomal RNA", at positions 525 to 896 of the family's 1533-position model. The record is from RNAcentral.